Molecule: unclassified non-coding RNA, 251 nt
Filed under: Hevea brasiliensis (rubber tree)
Lineage: Eukaryota; Viridiplantae; Streptophyta; Magnoliopsida; Malpighiales; Euphorbiaceae
Source: RNAcentral
GUGGGGAAGUUUUCCAACUUCAAGCAUCUUAGCAAGCUCAUUCCCUGAUUCAGAAGCUCUCUCAAAUUGAACUUGAAUCUCCUUCACCACAUCAGAAUCACUAUUGAAACUACGACCCUUGGAACCAGCUACAUUUCCCCGAUUCGCAUCAUCAACCACUUUCUUAUCCACGACGUGUACCUCAUACUCAAUCGGGUCAUCCUCCACAGAUGAACUUGUUCUUGAGUGGUGGUGUAUGGACUCUGAAUCAG